RNAcentral lists this transfer RNA (72 nucleotides) under Strigamia maritima. It matches the Rfam family "tRNA". From Rfam's summary of the family: Transfer RNA (tRNA) molecules are approximately 80 nucleotides in length. Their secondary structure includes four short double-helical elements and three loops (D, anti-codon, and T loops). Further hydrogen bonds mediate the characteristic L-shaped molecular structure. tRNAs have two regions of fundamental functional importance: the anti-codon, which is responsible for specific mRNA codon recognition, and the 3' end, to which the tRNAs corresponding amino acid is attached (by aminoacyl-tRNA synthetases). tRNAs cope with the degeneracy of the genetic code in two manners: having more than one tRNA (with a specific anti-codon) for a particular amino acid; and 'wobble' base-pairing, i.e. permitting non-standard base-pairing at the 3rd anti-codon position. The record is from Rfam by way of RNAcentral. Lineage: Eukaryota; Metazoa; Arthropoda; Chilopoda; Geophilomorpha; Linotaeniidae.
AUUCUCAUGAUGUAAUGGUCAGAACACUGGACUCUGAAUCCAGAAGUCCCACUUCGAGUCUGGGUGAGACUG